Pongo pygmaeus (Bornean orangutan) is the source of this 3516-nucleotide long non-coding RNA. RefSeq lists it as uncharacterized. The record is from RefSeq and is a predicted model, not a curated record. The transcript has 3 exons. NCBI's taxonomy places the organism in Eukaryota, Metazoa, Chordata, Mammalia, Primates, Hominidae.
GACACCCGCCGCCACACAAAGGCGCUGCUUCUUGGCGGCCAGCGGGGGCUGAGUCUAGGCCCGGCAGGGUUUUCUGGAAGACCAGACGGCCACCAGGUCACCGAGGUGGGAAGGGAAGAGAGGUUCGACGCUGCCUCAGGCCUGGGCCUGGCCGGUGGGAGACACAGCAAGGACUCUGGGAGCCCGCAGAGCAGAGGCCGCUGCGGGGCGGGGCCCCCGCCUCCUCCUCAGGUCCAAGACCAGAGGGUCUGCAGGGCCCCAGAGCAGCCGGCCGCGCUCCGCUUCCCACCGCGCUCUCUGCCGGAACUCAUGUGGUUGUUUAUCCUUGUUUUGCUGAAUUUCUUUAUUUGCUGUAACAGUUUGUGUGUGUGUGUGUUUGACUGUGUGUUUGUAAUUUUCAGGGUUUUCUAUAUAUAAAAAUCAUGUCACGGCCGGGCUUGGUGGCUCACACCUGUAAUCCCAGCACUUUGGGAGGCCAAGGUAGGAGGAUCGCCUGAGCCCAGGAGUUCGAGACCAGCCCGGGCAACAUAGCGAGACCCUAGUCUCUAAAAUUUUUUUUAUUAGCCGGGCGUGGUGGCAGGAGCCUGUGGUCCCAGCUACUCCGGAAGAUGAGGCAGGGUAAUCGCUUGAACCAGGGAAGUCGAGGCCGCAGUGAGGCAUAAUUGCUCCGCUGCACCCCAGCCUGGGUGACAAAGAGAGAUCCCAUCUCUCUCUCAAAAAAAGUCAUGUUAUCUGUGAACAUAGAUAAUUUUACUUUUUCCUUGCCAAUACUGUGCUGAAUAACAUGGUGAAAGUGGGCACCCAUUAUUCCUGAUUGUAGGAGAAAAUUUUUCAGUCUUUCGCUGUUGAGAAUGAUAUUAGUUGUAUGUUUUUCAUAAUUGGGCAUUAUCAAGUUGAGGAAGUUUCCUUCUAUUCCUGGUUUAAAUUGUAUGUGUGUGUGUGUGUGUGUGUGUGUGUGUGUGUUUUGUUUGUUUGUUUGUUUGUUUUGACAGGGUCUUGCUCUGUCUCCCAAGCUGGAGUGCAGUGGCCACGAUCUCGGCUCACUACAACUUGGACCUCCAGGGCUCAAGCAAUCCUCCGACUUCAUCCUGCCAAGUAGCGAGGACCAUAGGCGUACAACACCACAUUUAGAAGUCCCUGAGAAAAUUAUCUUGGAGGAAAACUCGCAAGUCCGACUAUUGGUUUUCCAAGGAAGCCAGUCUCGCCUGUGAGGAGGGAUUCUGCUCGCCCUGGGCGCCUACUCAGACACCAUGGGGAAUGGGGGGUGGGGCUCAGAGCGCGCAGGCUUGAUUUUUUUCCCCCUCCGAACUCCUGAGUUCCAGUGAUCUGCCUGACUCAGCCUCCCACAGUGCUGGGAUUACAGGUGUGAGCCACCGCACCUGGCAAAAAGGUGCUGAAUUUUGUCAAGUACUUUUUCUGUAUCAGUUAAGAUGAUUAUAGUUUUUUUUUUUUCCCUUCAUUCAGUUAAUGUGGUAUAUAUUGCAUUGACUUUUGUGUGCUGAAUCAUCCUCACAUUCCAGGAACAAAUCCUACUUGGUUAUGGUGUAUAAACCUUUCAAUAUUUUGCUAAAUUCAGUUUGCUAGUAUUUUGUUGAGGAAUUUUGUGUGAAUUGAGGGAUAUUGGUCAGUAGUUUUCAUUUUCUGUAAUGUCUCUAGCUUUGGUAUCAGGAUAAUGCUAGCCUCAUAAAAUGAGUCGGAAAUAUUCCCUCCUCUUUGAUUUUGUGGAAGAAUGUGAGAAAGAUGGGUGUUAAUUCUUUAAAUUUGGUAGAAUUCAAUAGUGAAGCCAUCUGGUUCUGGACUUCUCUUUGUUGGGAUAUUACUGAUUACUUCUUCAAUAUUUUUACUAGUUAUAGGUCUAUUCAGAUUUCUGCUUAUUUAUGAUUAAAUUUUGGUAGAUUGUGUGCUUUUAGGAGGUUGUCCACUUCAUCUAGGUUUUCCAAUUUGCUGGCAUAUAGUUGUCCAUAGUAUUCUUUAAUAAUCCUUUUUUAUUUCUGCAAAAUUGGUAGUAAUGUCUCCACUUUAAUUUCUGAGUUUAGUAAUCUGAGUCUUCUUUUCCUCUUAGUCAAUCUUGCUAAAUGUUUGUCAAUUUCAGUGAACUUUUCAAAGAGCCAACUUUUGGUUUCAUUUGUUUUCUUCAUUGUUUCCGGUCUGUCCUUCCUGAUGGCCUGCCUUUUCUAACAGCCUGUCCUAUGGAUUUAGCACUUACUAGGCAGCCCACAGUUGCAUCAGCCAAUUCCUUGUUCAGAAAAUCAAUCUCUCCCUCAUAUAAAUAUCUAUCUUGAUGAUUCUACUUAAACUGAACAUACCCACCUAACCAGCACAUGGCUCAACAGCAUCUCCAGUUCUUUUCUAGUCACUACCCACUCUUCCCAGAGGGAACCACUGUUCUGACUUCUAACAGCUGAAGGGAGUCUUGCUAGCUUUGUAAUUUAAAUCAAUGGAACCACAGAGUGCGUCCCCUUUUGUGUCUGUUUUAUUUUGGUCAAGUUUGUGAGGUUCAUACAUAUAGUUGUAGAUUGUUCUUUCUUAUUGGAACUGAUUAUUCUAUGCAAACUUAUUCAUGUGAUGGCUAGCACUUGGGAUGUCUCUAGUUCUUUUGGGUAUUAUGAAUAGGUUGCUGGGCAAUCUAGUAAAUAUAUUUGGUGAACACAGCUACUUAUUUGUGGUAGGCAAAUAUCAAUCAGGAUGUGAUAUUGUUGAUUUUAAGAAGUGAAAAGUCUGAGAGAUAUGAAAGGAUUACAGGCAAAAAAAAAAAAAAAAAAAAUGUGAACAGGAAAUGUUUCCAAACAUGGAUUGUCCGGACAUACACAUAAUAUCCUCCACUUGGAGGGAAUUCUACCCACAUGUUUCCAUGGUAUAGUAGUUAUCACACUUGCCUAACACACAAAAGGUCCUUAGUUCAGAACUGGGUGGAAACAUUGCACUUUUUCCUCACUCCUAGAUAUCAAACACAUAAAACAACUUAUAUUCUCCCUCCUUCAUCCAGAGCCAUCUCAAGAACCUCUGUUCUCCUUCCUUUGUCCUGAGCAAGCUGAAGCUCUCAUCACCAGCACCCUCCUCUCCGGCCAUGCUCUGCAAUUGCCUGCCUGCUCUGAGCCCCACCCCACUUUCCCAUGGUGUCUAUCUGAGUAGGCACCUGGGGCGUGCAGGACCCUGCCUCGCCAAUGAGACUGGCUUCCUUAAGACACCAAGAGUUGGACUUGCGAGUUUUCGUCCAAGAUAAUUUUCUCAGGGAUUUCUAAGAAGGAAGAGGGUUCCACUUUCAGCAAAGCAGAGAAUUGGAUAAUCUAUUGUCUGCUCUUUACCCCUAAGCACAGAGAGGAUUUUCACAAAAUAGGUCUAGGGGUCAGAAAUCUGCAAUCAAUUUCAGUGGACCAAAAUGAAAAUGUCAAACAGGGUGUCUGACACCCUCCAGAAGCACCAGAGGAGAAGCAGCUUUCCUUGGCCUUUCCAGCCAAAUCUCCCUCUGCCUCUCUCCCCUGGUGACGACAAUGGCUGGGGUCUUGACUUGCCAAG